UAGACUAUAGUUUCAGGAAUCAUUUCUAUAGUUCGUUACCAGAGAAGUUUCUGUGAACGUGUAGAGCACCCGAAACCACGAGGAGGAGGCACAGCAUUCCCUCCUGAGCGUGAAGCCGGCUCUUGGUGUUGCUUCUGCAACUGCCAUCAGCCAUUGAAGAUCGCUCUUCUCUUCCUCAUGGAAGAGUAAGAGGGUGAGAAUGCAGUCUGAGUGGC
This is a small nucleolar RNA of Pipistrellus kuhlii (Kuhl's pipistrelle), 215 nucleotides long. RefSeq annotates it as small nucleolar RNA U3. The transcript has a single exon. The record is from RefSeq and is a predicted model, not a curated record. Lineage: Eukaryota; Metazoa; Chordata; Mammalia; Chiroptera; Vespertilionidae.